RNAcentral lists this ribosomal RNA (253 nucleotides) under uncultured bacterium. RNAcentral describes it as "partial 16S ribosomal RNA". It matches the Rfam family "Bacterial small subunit ribosomal RNA", at positions 524 to 776 of the family's 1533-position model. The record is from RNAcentral.
GACGAAGGUGGCGAGCGUUGUUCGGAAUCACUGGGCAUAAAGCGCACGUAGGCGGCGACGUAAGUUGGGUGUGAAAUCCCCCGGCUUAACCGAGGAAGUGCGCCCAAAACUACUUGGCUUGAGUACCGGAGAGGAUGGUGGAAUUCCCGGUGUAGAGGUGAAAUUCGUAGAUAUCGGGAGGAACACCAGCGGCGAAGGCGACCAUCUGGACGGAUACUGACGCUGAGACGCGAAAGCGUGGGGAGCAAACAGG